This 383-nucleotide ribosomal RNA is filed under the name uncultured eukaryote. Its description in RNAcentral is "partial 18S ribosomal RNA". It matches the Rfam family "Eukaryotic small subunit ribosomal RNA", at positions 592 to 976 of the family's 1831-position model. The record is from RNAcentral.
CAAUAGCGUAUAUUAAAGUCGUUGCAGUUAAAAAGCUCGUAGUUGGAUUUCUGGUGGGAGCGAUCGGUCUGGCGCUUAGCGCGAGUACUUGCAUCGUCUCCGGCCAUCCUUGGGGAGAGUCUGUCUGGCAUUAGGUUGUCGGGCAGAGGAUCCUCAUCGUUUACUGUGAAAAAAUUAGAGUGUUCAAAGCAGGCUUAUGCCGUUGAAUAUAUUAGCAUGGAAUAAUAAGAUAGGACUUUGGUACUAUUUUGUUGGUUUGCGCACCAAAGUAAUGAUUAAUAGGGACAGUUGGGGGUAUUCGUAUUCCGUUGUCGGAGGUGAAAUUCUUGGAUUUACGGAAGACGAACUACUGCGAAAGCAUUUACCAAGGAUGUUUUCAUUAA